Molecule: ribosomal RNA, 469 nt
Filed under: uncultured bacterium
Lineage: Bacteria
Description: bacterial SSU rRNA
Rfam family: Bacterial small subunit ribosomal RNA
Source: RNAcentral
GAUGAACGCUAGCGGCAGGCCUAAUACAUGCAAGUCGAACGGUGUCUUCGGACAUAGUGGCGCACGGGUGCGUAACACGUAUGCAACCUACCUUACAUUGGGGGAUAGCCUUUCGAAAGGGAGAUUAAUACCGCAUAAGACAGUAGCUGGGCAUCCAGCAGCUGUUAAAGAUUUAUCGAUGUAAGAUGGGCAUGCGUCCAAUUAGUUAGUUGGCGAGGUAAUGGCUCACCAAGACUUUGAUUGGUAGGGGAACUGAGAGGCCAAUCCCCCACACUGGCACUGAGAUACGGGCCAGACUCCUACGGGAGGCAGCAGUAGGGAAUAUUGGGCAAUGGACGCAAGUCUGACCCAGCCAUGCCGCGUGCAGGAUGAAGGCGUUAUGCGUUGUAAACUGCUUUUAUACAGGAAGAAACAACUCUUGCGAGAGGCAUUGACGGUACUGUAUGAAUAAGCACCGGCUAACUCCGUG